RNAcentral lists this long non-coding RNA (1408 nucleotides) under Calidris pygmaea (Spoon-billed sandpiper). RNAcentral describes it as "lncRNA (ENSCPGG00000010267.1)". Lineage: Eukaryota; Metazoa; Chordata; Aves; Charadriiformes; Scolopacidae. The record is from RNAcentral.
AAUUAAGUGUUUGUCUUCUGAAAGCAGAAUGUACAAGGAUGAAACGGAGAUUCCCUUUAAAGUAAGGGUUUCUUGAAAAGUUUACCUUGGGUUCUCCUUGCGUAGCUUGGCAUUUUUCAUCUCCCUGUGCUUUGCCAUUUUUAUCUGGAUUUAACAGAGGUAAGAUCUCUAAACCCCUCAGGCUGGAAGGGAUGCCCUCUGACCAAGUGCUCUAGCACCAAUAUCGCCAAGCUUCAGGCGUGAACCCUCACUUUAAGGAAGGUUCACCUCUACUUAAAGAACCAGGAUGGAGAGCAAAGUCUCACACCCUACAAACUCACUGUCAAAGAUGGGUCUUUCACCUUCUUUCCCUAGAGAGCUUCCAGGCCAGAGGGGCAGGAGGUGGGACAAUAUACCCGGAGGAACCAAGCCACAGGGGGGUAGAUGAGAAGGGGCAAUACUCCUGCAGAGAGUAGGCACUGUGGGCAGCUUUGGACCCGGAAUUCUGCCAAAGCGAGACUAAGCAUGUCUUAACUCCAGGCCAUUCUUCCUCUCUUUCCAUAGGCGUAACAGUUCCUUGACUUCAGCUAAUUACCACAUUCCUGUGAAGGAGGAGCGAUGCCUCUCCCAAGUUUCUCUGCUAGCAUCAUGAGAGAACUGAUCUAUGAGCUAUUCAGUGGUUACUUACAUCAUUCUUGUGUUUCCAGCCCCGUGACUUGACCGCAAGGCUUUCAGAAGUGAUCCAGUUUCUGCCUGGUGUUAACCAUCACCACACUCGAGUCUUCCCAGCUGAGGAUCUGUUUCCUACCAUUCGGCUGAACGACGCCCAACUGAGGAGAAGUUCCUCUGUCUGGUUCAACGCCUGGUCACAGAGUUUUCCUGGCACAAAUGAGUGGAAAGAGCACUUUGGCCUGGAUGGGAAAUGUGCAGCAGAGGGUGAAAGGUGUCUUGGCAGACACUUGCAAUUUGUGUCCUUAUCUCACAGUCUCCAGCCAUCUUCAAAGGCUUUUUUUUGGCUUCUUGUGUUUUGCAAGUUCAAAACCCUGCACCCCACUGGUAUUGAAAACGUGUGAAUGAAAAAAAUAAUUGGAGAUGAAUGACAAUGUAAGUAUCAGUUGUUACUGCAAGGAAUGUUUCCUUCAUUUCUAAAAUGAGUUCAUUGAGAAAACCCUGCUUUCAUUUAUAUUAAACCAGGUUCUUCCACGGUGACUUUCUCAAAUUUAGAAGAUCUUGUCAUUUAAAUCCAGUUUGCCAUGGAACAUAAAGAUCAUUUGCUAUAUACCAUGUCAAACCAACAAAAACCCCUAUAUAAAGAACAGACUUUCAAGACACUAGAAAGUGGGAAAUUAAUCUCAUUGAAAGUUUGCCACCCUCCUCGAAGAAACAGAGUUGUGUGAUAAAUAAAUUCUCUGCAAAUAUUAAAAAAACA